UUCUUCUUCUUCCAUGGCGACGGCGGGCGGCGAUUCCUAGAGAGGCGGCGGAAUAAGCAGAAGCAGGCGGAGUUAGGAAGAGAAGGAGCGAUCGAAGAAUACGCUGGACCCAAGCAGGGGAAACACGUCUCCACCCGCUUCCGUUACCACGCCAGGCCAUCCUUCAGUGUCCUGUCCACACAGGGUGUACUGCGAAUCUGGGAUGUCUGUGGGUGUCAAGGAUCAUUCACUUUGAUUUCAGAGCUCUGAAUUUUUUUAUCCAUCAUAACCGUCAGAGAACAGAAACAGAUUAAAUUGCUAGACAGCCAACAUGAAGCUUCCGUACAUAUGCAAGCGAGAUGCAUCCUUCCAGCUCCAGCAUUAACUAAGCUGCUUGCUAACAGAAUGAAAUGAACCCAAAGGAAGACAAUAAAUACAUAAUACAGUUACAAGUGCAAGGUUUUUCCGAAUUGGCACCAGGAACAAGCAAAUCGAUAUAGAAACAGGGCAAAGUGCUUUACUGCGUAUCGAUCAAAUCAAUGUCACUUGGUUGUUUCUUGGAAGUGCAAGAGGGGUGAGAUCGAUGGAGGCCGGUGUGGUAUGAACAACAAUUCCAACUCCUGGUAAUUAAGCUGAAGCUGCAGGAAAACAGAGUUGUUCAUCCAAGUUAACGGACGAUUAUUUGAUCAAUAAAUCAGGGCCAGAGUUCAACUACUAGCGAGUACAUAUAUAGUAGCAGAGAUUAUCGGAGGGAGCAUCAGGAAAAUGUAACUGGUUAAGUCUGUAGAGGACUUCAGAGUUGGAUAUGUGUUAUUUAGAUGGCUGGAAAGAUUAUUUUGGAAAGUGAACUAUGUGGUCUUUUGUAAUGAAUCUUGUAGCUGCAAAAAAGUUCCAUGCAUGGUGAAACAUAUAGUAUUGUCAGAAGCGAAGAACAGUUUUGUUCCAGCUCUUGUGAUAGUAUAUUACUGUACAAUAGAAUUGCUAAGACUAUAUAUUGGGCACACGGAAGUUGUGUA
Long non-coding RNA from Brachypodium distachyon (stiff brome), 995 nucleotides. RefSeq lists it as uncharacterized. The record is from RefSeq and is a predicted model, not a curated record. The transcript is spliced from 2 exons. NCBI's taxonomy places the organism in Eukaryota, Viridiplantae, Streptophyta, Magnoliopsida, Poales, Poaceae.